RNAcentral lists this ribosomal RNA (252 nucleotides) under uncultured bacterium. RNAcentral's name for it is "partial 16S ribosomal RNA". It matches the Rfam family "Bacterial small subunit ribosomal RNA", at positions 524 to 776 of the family's 1533-position model. The record is from RNAcentral.
UACGUAGGAGGCAAGCGUUGUCCGGAAUUACUGGGCGUAAAGCGCGUGUAGGCGGUCUGAAUAGUCUGCUGUGAAAGCGCCUGGCUUAACCGGGCGAGGUCGGCGGAAACUCUCAGACUGGAGGCCGGUAGAGGGGGUGGAAUUCCCGGUGUAGUGGUGAAAUGCGUAGAGAUCGGGAGGAACACCUGUGGCGAAGGCGGCCCCCUGGGCCGCGCCUGACGCUGAGACGCGAAGGCUAGGGGAGCGAACGGG